CCUACGGGUGGCAGCAGUGGGGAAUAUUGGACAAUGGGCGAAAGCCUGAUCCAGCCAUGCCGCGUGUGUGAAGAAGGCCUUCGGGUUGUAAAGCACUUUCAGUGGGGAAGAAAGCCUUGGGGCUAAUACCCUCGAGGAAGGACAUCACCCACAGAAGAAGCACCGGCCAACUCCGUGCCAGCAGCCGCGGUAAUACGGAGGGUGCGAGCGUUAAUCGGAAUUACUGGGCGUAAAGCGCGCGUAGGCGGUCUGAUAAGCCGGUUGUGAAAGCCCCGGGCUCAACCUGGGAACGGCAUCCGGAACUGUCAGGCUAGAGUGCAGGAGAGGAAGGUAGAAUUCCCGGUGUAGCGGUGAAAUGCGUAGAGAUCGGGAGGAAUACCAGUGGCGAAGGCGGCCUUCUGGACUGACACUGACGCUGAGGUGCGAAAGCGUGGGUAGCAAACAGGACUAGAUACCCCAGUAGUC
Molecule: ribosomal RNA, 465 nt
Filed under: Vreelandella stevensii
Lineage: Bacteria; Pseudomonadati; Pseudomonadota; Gammaproteobacteria; Oceanospirillales; Halomonadaceae
Description: partial 16S ribosomal RNA
Rfam family: Bacterial small subunit ribosomal RNA
Source: RNAcentral